This 1384-nucleotide ribosomal RNA is filed under the name human gut metagenome. RNAcentral's name for it is "bacterial LSU rRNA". It matches the Rfam family "Bacterial large subunit ribosomal RNA", at positions 979 to 2387 of the family's 2925-position model. The record is from RNAcentral.
GGGAGUCAGACUAUACGAGAUAAGUUGGAUAGUCAAAAGGGAAAGAGCCCAGACCCGCAGCUAAGGUCCCAAAGUGCAUGUUAAGUGGAAAAGGAUGUGGGAUCUCUAAGACAACUAGGAUGUUGGCUCAGAAGCAGCCAUUCAUUCAAAGAGUGCGUAACAGCUCACUAGUCGAGAGGUCCUGCGCCGAAAAUGUCCGGGGCUAAAACAUGCCACCGAAGCUUGGGAAUGACAUAGUCAUUGGUAGAGGAGCAUUCUUAACGCGAAGAAGCAGUACCGGAAGGAGCUGUGGAGUGCUAAGAAGAGAGAAUGCCGGAAUGAGUAGCGAGAACAAGGUGAGAAUCCUUGUGGCCGAAUAUCCAAGGUCUCCAGGGUAAAGCUGAUCUGCCCUGGGAAAGUCGGGACCUAAGGUGAGGCUGAAAAGCGUAGCCGAUGGACAACAGGUUGAUAUUCCUGUACCGCAUGGUAACAGAACUGUGGGGACACGGGAGGGAAACAUGGGCCGGAAAUGGAAAGUCCGGUACAAACGGGGUAGUCGCACAGCAGGCAAAUCCGCUGUGCAUGAGACGAAGCCGUGAUGUGGAGCGAACUAAAGUAGUGAAGCAUGUGCCCCCUCCUGUCGAGAAAAGCCGCUAUUGUUUGCCAUGCGCCCGUACCGUAAACCGACACAGGUGGAUGAGGAGAGAAUCCUAAGGCCGGCGGGAGAAGCAUUGUCAAGGAACUCGGCAAAAUGACCCCGUAACUUCGGGAGAAGGGGUGCCUGCGAGAGCAGGCCGCAGAGAAUAGGCUCAAGCAACUGUUUAGCAAAAACACAGGUCUAUGCGAAACCGUAAGGUGAUGUAUAUGGGCUGACGCCUGCCCGGUGCUGGAAGGUUAAGAGGAGAGGUUAGCGCAAGCGAAGCUUUGAAUCCAAGCCCCAGUAAACGGCGGCCGUAACUAUAACGGUCCUAAGGUAGCGAAAUUCCUUGUCGGGUAAGUUCCGACCCGCACGAAAGGCGUAAUGAUUUGAGCGCUGUCUCGACAAUGCACCCGGUGAAAUUGAAGUACCAGUGAAGAUGCUGGUUACCCGCGCCAGGACGGAAAGACCCCAUGGAGCUUUACUCCAGUUUGGUACUGGAGCUUGGUAUUGCAUGUACAGGAUAGGUGGGAGCUUAUGAACCUGGGACGCCAGUCUCAGGGGAGGCGCUGUUGGGAUACCACCCUUGCAAUAUCGGGUUUCUAACCAGCCGCCGUGAUCCGGCGGUGGGACAAUGCCAGGCGGGGAGUUUGACUGGGGCGGUCGCCUCCGAAAGGGUAUCGGAGGCGCUCAAAGGUUCCCUCAGAAUGGUUGGAAACCAUUCGAAGAGUGCAAAGGCAGAAGGGAGCUUGACUGCGACACCGACGG